Non-coding RNA from Ciona savignyi (Pacific transparent sea squirt), 328 nucleotides. The record is from Rfam. Lineage: Eukaryota; Metazoa; Chordata; Ascidiacea; Phlebobranchia; Cionidae.
UACCUGGUUGAUCCUGCCAGUAGUCAUAUGCUUGUCUCAAAGAUUAAGCCAUGCAAGUCUAAGUACGAGCUCUCGUACAGUGAAACUGCGAAUGGCUCAUUAAAUCAGUUAUGGUUCAUUUGAUCGUACAGUUUACUUGGAUAACUGUGGUAAUUCUAGAGCUAAUACAUGCGAGAAGCGCCGACCUCGCGGGAGGCGUGCAUUUAUCAGACCAAAAACCGGCCGCGUCUUCGGGCGCGUUCGCCUUGGUGACUCUGGAUAACUUGCGGAUCGCACGGUCUAGCACCGGCGACGGAUCAUUCAAGUGUCUGCCCUAUCAACUUUCGUC